RNAcentral lists this non-coding RNA (24 nucleotides) under Arabidopsis thaliana (thale cress). Lineage: Eukaryota; Viridiplantae; Streptophyta; Magnoliopsida; Brassicales; Brassicaceae. The record is from RNAcentral.
AGGUUUCUGAGGAUGGGUUAGAGU